Molecule: ribosomal RNA, 936 nt
Filed under: uncultured delta proteobacterium
Lineage: Bacteria; Deltaproteobacteria
Description: bacterial SSU rRNA
Rfam family: Bacterial small subunit ribosomal RNA
Source: RNAcentral
AGAGUUUGAUCCUGGCUCAGAAUGAACGCUGGCGGCGUGCUUAACACAUGCAAGCCGCACGAGAACGUUUCAGCUUGCUGAAACUAGUAAAGUGGCGCACGGGUGAGUAACGCGUGGGUAAUCUACCUCCGAAUUGGGGAUAACAUUGCGAAAGCGAUGCUAAUACCGAAUGACAUCUCAAUCACUCCGGUCUUUGAGAUCAAAGAUGGCCUCUCCAUGGAAGCUACUGUUUGGAGAUGAGCCCGCGUACCAUUAGCUUGUUGGUAGGGUAACGGCCUACCAAGGCGACGAUGGUUAGCUGGUCUGAGAGGAUGAUCAGCCACACUGGAACUGACACACGGUCCAGACUCCUACGGGAGGCAGCAGUGAGGAAUUUUGCGCAAUGGGGGAAACCCUGACGCAGCAACGCCGCGUGAGUGAUGAAGGCUCUCGGGUCGUAAAGCUCUGUCAAGUGAGAAGAACCUGCCCUUUGCUAAUAUCACUGGGCACUGACGGUAUCACUGAAGGAAGCACCGGCUAACUCCGUGCCAGCAGCCGCGGUAAUACGGAGGGUGCAAGCGUUAUUCGGAAUCACUGGGCGUAAAGAGCGCGUAGGCGGUUUCUAAAGUCAGAUGUGAAAGCCCGGGGCUCAACCCCGGAAGUGCAUUUGAAACUUAGGGACUUGAGUAUGGGAGAGGGAAGUGGAAUUCCUGGUGUAGCGGUGAAAUGCGUAGAUAUCAGGAGGAACAUCGGUGGCGAAGGCGACUUCCUGGACCAAUACUGACGCUGAGGCGCGAAGGCGUGGGGAGCAAACAGGAUUAGAUACCCUGGUAGUCCACGCAGUAAACGUUGAACACUAGUGUAGCGGGUAUUGACCCCUGCUGUGCCGCAGCUAACGCAUUAAGUGUUCCGCCUGGGGAGUACGGCCGCAAGGCUAAAACUCAAAGGAAUUGACGG